CCCCUUCGUGACCCAGUUGGCCAAGAAGAUAUUCAUGAACCGCCCCAAUUUUUGUGUCCAUUUCUCUGUUUUUAAUUGGCAUAAGGGUGAGAAAAAGUCCUAGACUUUCGUUAAAAUCAUAAAGUCAAACCCAAGAGACCCAAAAUGGUAAUUUGAGAAGCUUGAAAAAUUGUCAGGUAGCCAAGCGAAGAAUAAGAAGCAGAUGAAAGGGGUUGGCGCAUAUGACAUAUGACCGUUAGGUUAUACCUAAGAAUCAAACAAAUAAAACUCCCGGGAAAGUACUUUGGGUAAAAGGAUUUGGUCCUAAAACAAGCAAACCCACCCAACCCAUCUUUCAAAAGUGAGAUUAUUGUGCAUAUGUUUUGCCUUUUUUUUGCUUCAGUUUCAAUGGAGCAAACGAACAAUGGUAUUGGUUAUCCUUCUCCAACAUCAUCACCACCAACACCUCCCUCACCACUUCCCGUCAGUGUAGGACCAGGCAACCAAAAAUACAUCUUCUCUUCAUCUCCAUCACUUUCCCCUCCCUUCUCCCCCCAACCUUCAAGCCAUACAUCGGCAGAGAAUCUCCCUCUUUUGCAUGCUAAACUGUCUGGUACUUCACUGCCACUGGCAUUGACAUUCUCAUUGGAUCGUCGUCGAGAGCCGGAUGAUUUGGCUUCCAAGAACUCUUGCCUUGAAGACUUGCUCAAAUGGUUUAUAGAGAAAUGCUGCACUUGCUGUUCCAGGCCUCCCUGAAAAUUUUCAAAUCCCACGCAAAUUGUUGAAAAUUUGGAAGCAGUACACAACGCAAAGUUCGUCUCCAGGAUAUAUAGAGCACUAACAAAAUUCUAACGCAUUACAAAUCGUGUUUUCUUUCUUUGCUUUUUUGGUUUACAAACCUCAAUUGAUUUUGUCUCCAUUUUGGAGGAAGAUCUUUGUUAGCUCCAUUUAUGACAUCCACGGUCAAUGGAUGAAGCAAUGUGAAAGUUUUAUUGAGACGUCUCAUAUGCUUGGAAAUCA
Carya illinoinensis is the source of this 999-nucleotide long non-coding RNA. RefSeq lists it as uncharacterized. The record is from RefSeq and is a predicted model, not a curated record. The transcript has 2 exons. Lineage: Eukaryota; Viridiplantae; Streptophyta; Magnoliopsida; Fagales; Juglandaceae.